Molecule: ribosomal RNA, 497 nt
Filed under: uncultured bacterium
Lineage: Bacteria
Description: partial 16S ribosomal RNA
Rfam family: Bacterial small subunit ribosomal RNA
Source: RNAcentral
GAUGAACGCUGGCGGCGUGCCUAAUACAUGCAAGUCGAGCGAACAGACGAGGAGCUUGCUCCUUUGACGUUAGCGGCGGACGGGUGAGUAACACGUGGAUAACCUACCUAUAAGACUGGGAUAACUUCGGGAAACCGGAGCUAAUACCGGAUAAUAUAUUGAACCGCAUGGUUCAAUAGUGAAAGACGGUUUUGCUGUCACUUAUAGAUGGAUCCGCGCCGCAUUAGCUAGUUGGUAAGGUAACGGCUUACCAAGGCAACGAUGCGUAGCCGACCUGAGAGGGUGAUCGGCCACACUGGAACUGAGACACGGUCCAGACUCCUACGGGAGGCAGCAGUAGGGAAUCUUCCGCAAAGGGCGAAAGCUUGACGGAGCAACGCCGCGUGAGUGAUGAAGGUCUUCGGAUCGUAAAACUCUGUUAUUAGGGAAGAACAAAUGUGUAAGUAACUAUGCACGUCUUGACGGUACCUAAUCAGAAAGCCACGGCUAACUACGUG